Long non-coding RNA from Rhea pennata, 3760 nucleotides. RefSeq lists it as uncharacterized. The record is from RefSeq and is a predicted model, not a curated record. The transcript has 5 exons. Lineage: Eukaryota; Metazoa; Chordata; Aves; Rheiformes; Rheidae.
GACUCUUAUAAUCCAACACCUACAGAAAAGAGACCAUGAACACAGCUGGCAGAGGGAGACUCUCCGCUUACCAUUGGGAUGUGCAGACUUUAUUACCUGAAAAGGACCUGAGACACUGAAAAACAAGCCAAAGAAACCAAAGAAACACCACCAGCAGGCUGCUCAGCACAUAGGCUCUUGCAAAGCAAGUUCAGCACAGCUCCACUCGGAUUCUGCUGUCAAAUGAAAAUCUGGAGAAGUUGAGUAACUUCCAGCUGGGCUUCUGGGGCCCCAGCCUCACUUCCAGAUGCCUCUCCAGAAGGGAGAUACAUAACAUCCCCUUAAGCCUUCCUGCGUGGAUGUCUCAGACACACCAUGGCAACUAAAAAGGCACUAACUUCUACCCACAGUGAAAGUCAAUGUUGAUCAACACAAAUUGACACUGUUCCCUACACUACUCUUGAGAGGGAUCCAAGGACACAGGAUGGUCUUCUGAUGGAACAAUCACAGCUGGCCAGAUCUCUGCUCUUUUUAUGAUCUGUCUUCAUAGCAGGAAUGCGGGAAAAAACAAGAUACAUCUUCCCUUCCUUGUGUCAGCACCUGAGUCUAGGGACAGCUUGGCUGUUUCUGGCAGACCCUGUGGGAGCUUAUGAAUGAAUUCCCAUAAAUUAUGUCUGUGACCAGACAAAGCUAGCAGACUCCCAGGCAUCAGCACAGCGUUAAUUGCAGCAAUUAACAGUAACUCCAUACUCCCUUUGAGCUGGACACCACCAUCAAGGACAUCAUGCUUGUCGCUAAUCCCUAUUGCUCCAUAUGGAAUGAAUUAAAUUCCAGAAGAAUCUGAACUUCUGAAGGAACCCUGCUAAGCCAAUACCCCAACAUUUCAACAGCUCUGGCUCACUCUAGCCUUAGGAUUUAUUUCUAUUCUUUCUUUCCCAAAUGCACCAAGUAUUCAUAUUUUACACGACGGAGCUGCUCCAAACACAGAGACUUACCCUUCAGUCUCUCAAAUCUUUGUAUUAAAAGGCUCAAACUUACGGUAGCAUGCUGAAUGGGUAUCCAGGCAGGUGUUUCGACUGAGCAUUUGUGGGAUGGGCAUCUGCCAUGGCUCUGCUGCAAAUAAGUGAAAACGGCAUUAUACACAACACAAUAUGUGCUGCAAUCCUUAGGUGCAAUAGGCUCCAUUCCAGAUGGAGCACCUAGGCAUUUGCUAGUACACAUUAAACUUCAAAGUCAUUUUUCCAUUGUCAUGUAAGGGAAAUUAGAUCUGCAGUUCACAAGAUCAAAAAGGCCUCAAAAUUUACCCAUUAAUUUUCUUUUAAAAUCCUCAGUUAUGCUGGUGAACACAAGCUUCAUCCACUCUGAACCCUAAGUAAUUGCCAUCUGGCUUUCCUCAGCGCUGGAACACUUCAGAGAACAACACUGGAGCUUUAGGCAGUAGGCUUUUCUCUCCCUAUUUCAUGACAGGCCGCAUUCUUCCUUUAGGUCCUUUUUGCAUCAGUGAUAGCUGCAACCUGAACUGCCUCCAGGGCUAUUUUUCAGCAGAAGCACAUCUAUCCCAAAUUCUCAGAGUGUGUUUCAGAGCUGAGCAGAAUGCACUGCUUGCUCCCCAAAUUGGGCACCAGAAAACACACCAUAGGGAAACAGAGCAAGUACCAAAAACUCUUGCAGUUCUCUGAAACUUUGCAGGACCAAAAGAGUGAAGGGUUAAUUUAAAGUCUAACGUUCCACAUGGCAGCGCAAGAUGCUACCAUCAGGCCUUCAGGCUGAUCUUCCUGUAAUUUCCCGUUCAUUUGCAGUGAUUCAAUUACAUUUUACUGAAGAUUUGGAGCCAAUCAGAACUAAUCACAUAGCAGCUUGGGUCAGAGUCCCCGAAGAAAAGUUCAGAAUAAAUUUUGGUGUCUGCCACCAUUACUCUCAGCAUUUCACAUAAGACUCAAACUAUUACUUUGCUGCUUGGAAUGGAGGACUUUUGUAAUUAUGUGUGUUCCUGAAGCUGGAUACAAUGAAGAAGAGGCUUUUAUUUUCAUUUAAACCAGGAAUAUUGUGAGCAACUACAAUACACCUUUCUUUUCCCCAUGCCAAGAGCAAAGGAGAGCGAUCUCUAUGGAUACUAUAGAUCAGGUUUCACGCUAUUUUCAAAUUUUGAGUCUGAUGUGAGAACAUUGACUAAUGUAGCCUAUUAGUUCUUUGUUCUUUACCUUUACAAAGCAGACAUUCAUAAAGCUUUGCAAUACUAAACACCUUUAUAAGGAAAAAAAUGUGUAUGCCAGUUCCAGUGUUAUAGUCCCCAGAAUUUCCCCAUCUUAAAAAUUGACGGUUACUGACCAUCAGUAGUAUUAUUAUUAUAUUUUCACACAAGUAUCUUUAAGGAUUAUUCAAAAAGAUAUAGCUAGUAAGCAAGAAUCAUUGCACCUUUAGAUGAAAGUAUUGUUUAAAUCGUUUUGAAAAAGUCACCGGUAUCACAACAAUAUCCUGUGGAUGUGUGUUAUCUCUUGUAAGGACAGGAUGAAUGCAACAGCAAACUAAGCAAUACUAUCAAACUAAUAAAACUAUAAAUAAAUUUUGAUCAAAACCCUGCAUGAAUUAUUGUCAAUGCUUUCUUUAACAAGUUUAAUCUGUAGUCCAAACCAAGAUAAAGGUAAGAAAAUUAAUAAUUUGCUUUGGGCAAGAAACAUUUUUAAGAAAUAUUUUUUUUUUCUGAUUGAAAAGCCUGAUCUUAGAAAAUCACAUAUCCAUGUUUGUGAGGAGACUCCUCACGAAGGCAGAAAUUCUUAAAGAAGAUACAUCCGCAGAAUAAAGGCUCCAGAUCUCAGAGCAGGAGAGGCUAAUGUUCUGCUAAUCUUCUUGACUCUGAAAUUCAUAACAAAAAUUGUCCUGAGGCCCAGAAUCGUGAGACACAUGCUGCUUAUUUAAAGAUUAGAGAGACACUGGUAACUCUGGGAAUUACUGGAAGGCAGCAGUUCUCCAGAGAUCCUGCUGUUCCAACACAAGGGCUAUGCCGAGGGUACAGCUGGGCUAUGGAGUGGCUAUGGAGUGGCCCACAGAGUUUGGCCUUUCACAGCUGGAUAUCUGAAUUACUGCAUUGAUAUCAUGAUAUUGCACUGGAAUUUUCUAAGAAAUGCAUGCAGCUCAAGGGCUAGGACUGAACACUCUUGCUAUAGCUUUUUGCUCUCUGAAAAUCACAUGUGGUUUACCAGUCACUAUUUUUAGUACUUUUGUUUAAAAAGCAAUGCUUUUUACAGCUUUCAUAUCUUACAUCUUCUACCAGUUGAAACAGUUCUAGGAUGUAAAGUUAUAUCAACUGCUAAUAAUGCUCUUCUGCAUUAAAAUGCUCGUUUUUUUUUCAACAGCCAAAAGCUCUGUGUCACACUUACAGAAACGAACUAAGAAACAAUUCAUCCCAAAAGGUCAACAUUGCAUGAAAGCAUAGGAAAUAUGAUAAAGCAUAGGAGUAAAUAUGGGGGGGGGGGGGGGUUUAUUUGCAAGUUGCAGGAGGAAUUACCUUCAUUGGAUUAUUACUGCUAGUAUUUUCAUUGACUUAGUCAUUUGGUGAGCACAAGGACUACAAACCCUGGUCCGCCACAACACUAAAAAGUUAAAAUCUGUAAACUGAUGAAAAUCCAUCAUGUUUAAUUAUCUUUCUUUAGACAGUCUUCAAGGCAGGACAGAACUAUGGUUUGCUUUCUAAAUUUACUGAUAACUGUAUGCAAAAAUAAUAUGUCUUGCUGUUUGGAAGAAUAUAUACAAAUAAACCAGUUCUCUGUCUGAAAUGGAAAAA